Salvia hispanica is the source of this 197-nucleotide non-coding RNA. NCBI's taxonomy places the organism in Eukaryota, Viridiplantae, Streptophyta, Magnoliopsida, Lamiales, Lamiaceae. The record is from RefSeq and is a predicted model, not a curated record.
GAGUUUGAUGAAUUGAAUUGAUUGUGGAUGGCUGAUAGAAUGAGAAAGUUGGACUACCUGUGAAUGCUGUAUAAUCUGAUUUUGAUGUAUCCGAGGCCCAGUACAAGCAUUUGUUGGCAAUUGAACAUUUAGCGCCAAGAUUAGCAGCUCUCAGAUUUGAACUUUGUCCAGUCCAUAUGGGUGUGGGCUACUUUUGG